RNAcentral lists this ribosomal RNA (395 nucleotides) under uncultured bacterium. RNAcentral's name for it is "partial 16S ribosomal RNA". It matches the Rfam family "Bacterial small subunit ribosomal RNA", at positions 338 to 730 of the family's 1533-position model. The record is from RNAcentral.
CCUACGGGAGGCAGCAGUGAGGAAUAUUGGUCAAUGGCCGGAAGGCUGAACCAGCCAUGCCGCGUGAAGGUCAGUGCCCUAUGGGCGUUAAACUUCUUUUGUGCGGGAGCAAUAAUGGUCACGUGUGGCCAGACGAGAGUACCGUACGAAUAAGCAUCGGCUAACACCGUGCCAGAGGCCGCGGUAAUACGGGGGAUGCAAGCGUUAUCCGGAUUUAUUGGGUUUAAAGGGUGCGUAGGCUGGGAGGUAAGUCAGCGGGGAAAUGCCCCCGCGCAACGGGGUGAAGUGCCAUUGAUACUGGCUUGCUGGAAUGCGGAUGCGGUAGGAGGAAUGUGUGGUGUAGCGGUGAAAUGCAUAGAUAUCGCACAGAACACCGAUUGCGAAGGCAUCUCACG